This 97-nucleotide ribosomal RNA is filed under the name uncultured bacterium. Its description in RNAcentral is "partial 16S ribosomal RNA". It matches the Rfam family "Bacterial small subunit ribosomal RNA", at positions 1384 to 1482 of the family's 1533-position model. The record is from RNAcentral.
UACACACCGCCCGUCACACCACGAAAGUGGUUAUAACCAGAAGCAGGUGAGCUAACGCAAGAGGCAGCCUACCAAGGUUGUAGCCGUGAUUGGGGUG